GCUUCACAUUCCUGUCCAGUUGGUGGCGCUGAUGCACGAGAUCUGUUGUUAACUGGACUUUGAUUUUCUCCAAGAUGAAGUCGUGUCAGGUGACAAACAUCAAUCGUGAAGAUCGCACAGGUGUUUAACAGCGAUCACAAACCGGAAGUGUGUGAAAGACUUCUGGAUUCUGUUCCUGCAGCACAAGAUCGUCUGAACUACUGCAAGUCAUGAUGAGCAUCUGAUCAUCUUCAGAGACACAAAGAUCUCAGUGUUGAGCUGUUCAUCUGCAGUAUGUCAGAGAAGAGAGGAAAGAUGAGUCUCUCACACAAACAGAGUGUAAGAUCAGACUCACAUGUGUCCAGCUCUGUGUCUGUGAAGAGUGACCCC
Molecule: long non-coding RNA, 369 nt
Organism: Carassius auratus (goldfish)
Lineage: Eukaryota; Metazoa; Chordata; Actinopteri; Cypriniformes; Cyprinidae
Exons: 3
Source: RefSeq, a predicted model, not a curated record